Molecule: long non-coding RNA, 586 nt
Filed under: Equus caballus (horse)
Lineage: Eukaryota; Metazoa; Chordata; Mammalia; Perissodactyla; Equidae
Description: lncRNA (ENSECAG00000057334.1)
Source: RNAcentral
CCCACGGAAGAAACGAGAGAGGAAUCUAGAGCAGCAUCGUCUCCCGCGCGUUCUCCAGGUAUUUGCACAGGCGCGGGACGCCCUCUUCCUCCAGGCCAGCGCUCCGGGACUUUGCACGGUAGGCAUCUCCCAUUGAGCCUGGGGUUUUGAGUCGCAGUGUCCGCUUCUGUCCAGGUCUCCAGGCCCGGGUGUGGCCUUCCAACGAGGCGCGGAGAAGCGGGACGCGCCAACCGGCCCCCCUCCGUUUCUGGCGCACCCAGAAGACAGGGUCCUCGGGGUCCGCCUCCGCGGGCGCGCCCGGCCCGCUCCGGCCCCACCCACCUCAGGCCCUGAGGCUAUGAUUGGCUGCGUGAACGCCAAUCAGGGCUCGGCUGGGCGCGGGCCGCAGGAACGCAGCCGGACUCGCCAGUUUGAAUGCCCGCUGGGUUAUUCUCAGCGCUCCGCGGGUGGAAAAGAGGGACGUCAUUUGUCCCUAAACAGAAUAACCUGAGACCGCUGGUACCAUGGCUGUGGACGUGUCGGAUCGUGGGAAUCCCUAGCGCUGGUCGCGCUCCUGAGUCCGCUUCCAAACCUCAUUCACGACCCG